GCAUUGUACCUAAUACAAGUUUGUAUGUAUUCAUUUGGGCCUAACUCAGGCGGGCAGCUGGCAUAAAGCUCACACGUGGCAGUGGGGCUCAGGUGGCUUUUGGCAGAAAGAUUUAUCAUAACAGCUGGCCAUGCUGUAAUUGUCCUUGUCCUAGAAGUAUAAGCUAGAAACUUGUAACAAGAACUAUACAACCAUGCAUACCCUCUGACUUGGUAAUCCUACUCUUGGGAUUCUAUUCUAAGGUAAUAAUCCAAGUGAGAAACCAGAAUCAUCUGUGCAGGUUAUAUAUGGCAGCAUGUCCAUAAUAGGGGAAGAUGGAAGCUGCCCAAAUGCUCAGCCACUGCAAUGGUUCAGAGUCUUCUGUGACCACUGAGAUCGGGAGGCCUGGGGACUCUGUUCACACGAAUGGAAACGUGCACACAAAGCAGAAUGCAGAGUCGAGCAGCCACUCUCACUGCUUCCCAGACAUGGGGGUCUGUGCUUUGAUGAGCCCGGAAAAAAAAUACAGAUAGCUGGGACUUUUAUAUUCAUGAAAUUCUUCUGUAUAAAUGUAUCUAAACAUUUAUGCAACAUCUAUUUGAUGAAGAUGAAAUGCUGGUUAAAGUCUAACACCUGCGGAAACCAAGAAGUAGUCUAAAAGUCUUUCCUAGCACACAGGUUGUGCUGGCCUCUCUUGGAGAGCUGACCUAGCUGUUUCUUAGCUGAGCAUCAUGGGUGGUGUAGCCCAUUGCCUGCCUAAGGAGCCAUUUUAAGGAUGCUGCAACAGUCUCAGGUCCCCUUUUCUUCAGCUGCAGUCUUUUCACUUUUCCUUCAAGCGAAUGUGUUCUAGAACCCAGAGGAGGGACUUAAAACAAUAUGGAGUGAGAGGAGGGUUGGUCCGGUCACCUGAGGAUCUGACCCUGGACCUUUGGCCUGGCAACCUUCAAAUCUUGUGAUGUACCAUAGGGAAUCUUAAAAGUUGCUUUCUUAAGAAUGGGGUGCAGAACCGCCAACCAAAGCAGAGGAGCUCAGCCUGGAAACAGUCAUCCAUAAGAUAGUUCCAAAGGCUUUGAAAAACCCGAGUCUGGACACCUAGAAAGCUUCCAAUGGCCAUACCACAAAGUGUUCCAUCAGCAAUCAGAUGGGGGACUGGAUCAGAAGGAGUGCUUGGCUGUGUGACAGGCUCUCAUUGAGCCUGGAGUUCAUUGAUUUGGCUGCCUGGCAAAUGAACUCUGGGAAUUUACUUGUCUCCAGCCAUACCCAGGAUUGUGAUUACAGAAGAGUGCCAUUGCCCAGUUUUAGGAAAUUCUGGAAAUUUGGCAUUUUUACUUUAUUCUAAAUUCCAACAUGGUUGGCAUGUUAAUUACCAGCUUUCUUCAAAGUGGCAACAUAUGCGGGAGAAGCAAAGGAGUUGAGAUUGACUUUGAUGCCGGCCUUGGGAGGCCCAUGGUUACUUUGGGCCUGAGGAGAGGCAGGAUGGAGCAGCUGGGAGCUGUCCUGGAGGACACUGCUUGCUUCAUGAUGAAGAGGAAUAAAGAAAGAGCUGACCCUGUGAGGAAGGAAGAGACGGGAAGGAAGCUAUUGGGCUCUUUAUUGAUACCAACAAAAAUUUCUAGUAUUUUUCUUGUCUAGGGGAGGAGGACUCCCAGUUUAAUGGGGAUGAUGGAGAAUUUGGAACCACGAUUACAGAAAGGAAGAUUUCUUCUUACCAGGCUAUUAUUACGCAUUGCCGGAAAACAUCGAAGGUGGAAUGAAAGCAUCUCCCAUCUCUUCAAAAGUAAAAACAAAACCCACAAACGGUCCACCAGACAACCCCUCCACAGUCUCCAAAUUCCACCAGUAGUGCAUCAUCUUGAGGCUCCACCCCAUUUCCUUCACCCCCUUUCUGUCCUCCACUCUACAGCUCAGUCUCUCUUUACUCAAAUCAGUAGCUGGUUUUCACUGUGUGCUAUUACGUUACUUAUUUAUAAAGUCAAAUACUUGCAAAGUGCUUAUUACCGUUGGGCAUUGUGCCAAGCAUAGGUGUUAACUCCCUUAAUUCUGUGAGUUAGGUGUUUUAUUGACUAUUUUAUAAAUGAGGAGCCAGAAGCAGUCCGGUCAUGGCACUUGGCAAGGUGCCAGGCUUGUGAGUGGCCAGCCUGAGGCUGAGUUCAGAACCAUCUGCUACUGAGGAUGGGGGUCCUGCCCUGACCUCUGCAGUGGCCAAGUUUGGUCAAGACUGUUGACUGAUGGACAGCUCCCUUUGCUUCGGGCAUCUGUCUUGAACUUUUUGGAUAACUGCACGGUUAGACACAGUCUUCCUGUCUCUUCUUUGUGGGAACUCUUAGGCAUGAAGCCUGUACUGGCAGGGAAGAAGCACAAAGACACCCCCAGGAGCACCCCUGUUCCCAAACAAUAAUUCUAUGGGCUGAUGAAAUAAUACUUAAAAACUGUGUAUUAAGAAAUUCAAGGUAUAAUCAAUUCAUCCAAUCUGAGUUCCGUGAGGGCCAGUUUCUUUUCUAGUCCCCAAAGUUGGUUUCUCCUCUUCCAAAGGAAAUAUUUAUUAUGCAUUUUCUUUCACUUAAAAAUAUUUAACAACUGAUUUGUGUGUUGCAUGAAAGUUACACAUUUCCUAAGAUGCAUUUGCUAUUUUAUUUUCUUUUCAUUCAAAAAUAUGUCAGUAAUCUUUUUGUUAACAUGAAGAUAAAGGAUUAGUAAUGCAAGGUGCAGUUUUCUUGUAGCCUUCUUGAAAGCAGGCUAUAGUUUCUUAUCUGGCUCCAACAUUCAUUUUCCUGAAUUGAAAAAAAAAGGUGACUUAAAAUGAAAUAUACCACAUUUGAUUCCUGAGAGCAUCGCUGGCAGGGAAAUGUACUGAGAGAGGCAGACUUGGUCAGGUUCCAGAGAGCCCCUCUGCUGCCCAAGUGAGGGAAUUGACUAAUUUUGCAUUUUAAAGCACAGUAUUAAUGCAGGAGGAAUUGUGAAUUGUCUCCCAGUUGUUACUAAUCGGAAGAUAUGUAUGAUUUUAUUUCCUGGAGAAUUCAAGCUGUUAGGAAAAGAAAACAGUGAAGUGUAAGCCUUCAUAAUUUCAGUUUAAUUUUUUUUAAAAUGUGAGUUUCUAUUUACAGAGCUGGAUGCUGAAAGCAUUGAGAUGAAGGGGGAAAGUGCCCAGCCUGAUGGGCACCUCGACUCCUGUGACCUGUGAUGGCACAGGAGGGAGGUGUCCCAGCAGAAAAGACAGCCCUUGUUUUCCCUCUCAACUGCUAUGUUCAGGCUUAAGUGGAGAGGUUUUAUAGCUCUUUUAUGAUUUUUAAUAUGAGGCCUAAGCGAGUGUAGAUCCAAUGUUUAAGUCUCAAGUUGUUUAAUGUCACCAGGCUAUACAUGGGAACCCACUGCCCUGACACUAUCUUAGGUUAACUGACCAUGUUCACAGGCUCAGCCUAUACUAGCCCCACACGAAUACCCAGCUUUAGCAGGGAACUGGAAUCCUGUUACCAGACUGGCCAGAGCAAACCCGGGGCAUUUACAGUGUGCUUCCCUCAGACUUUGAACCUGCCCCAGCAAACACCACUUCCCUUCUCUGGGCUAGGCCCUGGCCAGAGCCUUGAAGGACCACUGGUGUAGAAGACCCGAGAAACUUUCCACAGGUAACAAACGUUAAGGGGAGGUGAGUACACCAGAGGAGGCACAUGUGGCCCAACCCAGGGGCUCAGGGAUGCCCCCUGGAGGCAGUGUUAGUGGAAUGUUGGUGGGAAGUCCUUGCCAGGUGUGGCUGUGUGAGAGACACUGCAGGGAAACAACAGCACAGUAGAAGCCCUGGCCUGCUGUUAGUUGGUACCUAAAGGACUGAGCUUCUGGUUGUGGCUGUCCUUGGAGAGGGGCUUUCUGUGAUGUGAGGGGUGCCUCCUGUCUGAGAGGAUCUGUAGUUGUGAGCUGGAAGUUGACUCUGUUUUGUGCCACCAGGCAUGUGAGACUUUCUUCUGAGAGGACUGGUGAGCUAACCAAAAGAGCAGCUGAAGCAGGGCAGGCCAGAAAGGUGAGCACCCAUCUAGGGAGGGGAGGCAGACUAGAAAGGGGAGCACUGAUCUAGGGAGGAGAGGCAGGCUUUGGGAGGUUGUUAGGACUCACGAGGACCCCACGUUACUGGGAAGGAGGUAUAGUGUAUGAGCAUGAGGAAAUGGUUCUGGCAAUCAACCACGUGUUCUGCCUUGAGCAAGACAGGAAGUGAGGUCAGGAAGGUCUAAGCUGGAGAGUAUCGAGGGAUCAAGGCAGUCUCAGGGCACUUGAAGUCUGAAUAUCCCUAAAGGAGGUGCUAUACUUUGCAGGUGAGGUGCCCCUUCCGCCUCAGGGCUUCUGUAUCUGGUGGUUGGUUGGUGCUAUUUAGAGACAGUUGGAGUAUGAAGGCUCUUCCCUCAACAAUAGGUUACAUCUUGAUACACCCGUAAUAGAGGACAUUAUUGGUAAGUGGUAGAGAGAAGGAGGCAGGGUGUUCCCUUGAUGGGCAUAAAUUGAUCCUAGUCUUUUCCUGUUACUGUCUUUGCUUCCUGACCUCUUCAUUCAUGUGCUUGCAUCACGACAGCAGACUGCUUUGCCUCAGACUCUAAGUUACAGAGCCAGAUCACCCUGGGCUGAAACCUUUGAGCCCAUAUCUUUCUUCUCUUGAAAUCAUUUCUUUCAGACAUUUGUCCCACUGAUGAAAACUGACCAAUAGUAGCUAAACAACAGCAGUUAAAGCUGCUUUUCUCAUUAAACCCGAGCCCCCUAGAACCCUUUUCUCCACUUAGAGGGCCUGGAGCCAGGUGAGGCUUUGAAGAACAAGUCCAUGCAGGGAUGGAGAGAGAAGAGAGAGGACAGGAUGGGAAUAUGCCCCUCCCCCUGUCAUGUUUCCCCCCUGGUUUUAAUGAGAGUGUUUUUAAAUGUUACUUUGAGAAGAAUUAGAAACUUAAAGAUAGCUAUCCUAGGUUAGAAAGACCUGGAAGUGAUGGUCCGCCUGGGGAAGGAGAAGCUGACACAAUCCCACAACAGAGAUGGAUCCGAGAUGAGGCCAGGGGAGGAAGCUACCGGGUGGUUCUUGGAAAUAAUAUUUCAGAAAAGGCAGAGAGAGUGUGGCUAACCCAGGAUCAAAACUGAGCAAAUAUUCACCAUGUUGAGUUGCAUUUAAUGGUAGGCUCCGGGAUGUGCAAAGCCAGGUGCUCAGAGGAGGAAGCACGAGCUAGUGCUCUUCUUCAGAAGUCACAGGACCCUCUGGAGAUAAUGUUUCUGCCUUUGUUGUCAAUAUCCUGGGGCUGCCUUUGCACACUCCAUAUCCUUACACACAAAGCUUGCAAAAAAGCUUUGCUUUCUGCCCUCAUGACCUCUGGCCUGAUAUCCAGCUCAUGCUUGUAGAUAAACACUUUAUUUGGAGUACAUGGCCAACACAACAUGAACUCAGUGGUAAUUUUUGGAGUUUUUUGUCUCGUAAAUCUUUGUCUGAACUUUUUCUUCUUAACAUUGCAUAUCUUUUGCUUAUAUGUUAUGGUUUCCUAUUUUGUUUUUAUGGGUUUCCUCAAUGUGUUUCUCAGAAUCUGUAUGUGUUUCUUGUGGUUUUUAUAUGCCUUAUCUCUUCUCCUUUGUUUGUUCUGUCCUAUUCUGGUUUGUUUAUUUUUUUUUAUUUUAACUUUUAUUAUUAUCAUUAUUAUUUUUAGAUGCCUGUUUGUAUUCUAAUGGAAGAGAGAGAAAGAAAGGGUAUGGAUUUGGCUGGAUCUGGGAGGAGUUGGGGGAGAUGAAAUGGUAAUUAGACUGUUGUAUGAAAAAACUAUUUUCAAUUAAAAAAAAGAAAGAAUCAAGUGGAGAGAGGAAGCUGGGGGACCACGAGACCUUCUGGAGGGGGGGCAGAGAGCUGUGCAUCAUAGGCUUCACAUGGGAGACCAGAGCCUGACACAGAGGUGGCCUGAGAUGCAAGGAGGUGGCAUAGUGGGGCAUGCCUCUCUAUCAAGGCUCCGUCUCCUCUACUGGGCUCUCUGUUCCUGACCUCUGCCCUUCUUUGAUGACCUUUCUCUUCCAUCCUACACAGCCUGCCAAGGUCACUGAAGAGAAGACACAAAGGAACAGAUCAAGAGCCAACUCUUGACAGCUGAAUUCUCUAAAUAGAUUUACCAACUUGUGGCAGGGGCAACCCUUUUGAAAGCCAAAGGUUUUGAUUUGAAACUUUUUUUUCCACUUCAAAAGAGUAAGCCCCUGGAGAAGCUGGGGACACAGUUAACCCCAAACAGUGGUUUCCAAUCCACCACACACAGCAAGACUCCCUUUUCUCUUCAAUUUUGCUAUAACAGGAAAUUUCAAAGAUGGCCACUGAUGGAGAGAAUAGUAAAAUGACCUGAUGUUCUCACUGUUUAGCUGAGAGCAAGUGUUGACACCUGGACACACCCUGUUUCAUCUCAUUCUGAUCCACUCCAUCAUAUGGAGGAUCUCACAGCAAAUUAUCCAAUUGUACCUGCAAGUACUUCUCCUGUAAAGUCAAAGGACUUUAGAAAGCAUAGGCCCAGGGCUGGAGAGAUGGCUGAGUGGGUAAAGGUGCUUGUCAUGAAAGGCUGGAACCCUGGGUUCCAUAAAGAUGAGAGGAAAGAACUGACUCCUGGGAGUUUUUAUUUAAUCUCUCU
Molecule: non-coding RNA, 6593 nt
Organism: Cricetulus griseus (Chinese hamster)
Lineage: Eukaryota; Metazoa; Chordata; Mammalia; Rodentia; Cricetidae
Source: RefSeq, a predicted model, not a curated record